RNAcentral lists this ribosomal RNA (253 nucleotides) under uncultured bacterium. RNAcentral's name for it is "partial 16S ribosomal RNA". It matches the Rfam family "Bacterial small subunit ribosomal RNA", at positions 524 to 776 of the family's 1533-position model. The record is from RNAcentral.
UACAGAGGGUGCGAGCGUUGUCCGGAAUCACUGGGCGUAAAGCGCACGUAGGCGGCUUUGCAAGUCAGAGGUGAAAGCCCGGGGCUCAACCCCGGAAUUGCCUUUGAGACUGCAUCGCUAGAAUUGUGGAGAGGUAAGUGGAAUUCCGAGUGUAGAGGUGAAAUUCGUAGAUAUUCGGAAGAACACCAGUGGCGAAGGCGACUUACUGGACACAUAUUGACGCUGAGGUGCGAAAGCGUGGGGAGCAAACAGG